RNAcentral lists this ribosomal RNA (492 nucleotides) under uncultured bacterium. RNAcentral describes it as "partial 16S ribosomal RNA". It matches the Rfam family "Bacterial small subunit ribosomal RNA", at positions 29 to 507 of the family's 1533-position model. The record is from RNAcentral.
AGUGAACGCUGGCGGUAGGCCUAACACAUGCAAGUCGAACGGCAGCACAGUAAGAGCUUGCUCUUACGGGUGGCGAGUGGCGGACGGGUGAGGAAUACAUCGGAAUCUACUUUUUCGUGGGGGAUAACGUAGGGAAACUUACGCUAAUACCGCAUACGACCUACGGGUGAAAGCAGGGGAUCUUCGGACCUUGCGCGAUUGAAUGAGCCGAUGUCGGAUUAGCUAGUUGGCGGGGUAAAGGCCCACCAAGGCGACGAUCCAUAGCUGGUCUGAGAGGAUGAUCAGCCACACUGGAACUGAGACACGGUCCAGACUCCUACGGGAGGCAGCAGUGGGGAAUAUUGGACAAUGGGCGCAAGCCUGAUCCAGCCAUACCGCGUGAGUGAAGAAGGCCUUCGGGUUGUAAAGCCCUUUUGUUGGGAAAGAAAAGCAGCAGGUUAAUACCCCGCUGUUCUGACGGUACCCAAAGAAUAAGCACCGGCUAACUUCGUG